Long non-coding RNA from Pygocentrus nattereri (red-bellied piranha), 1073 nucleotides. Lineage: Eukaryota; Metazoa; Chordata; Actinopteri; Characiformes; Serrasalmidae. The record is from Ensembl.
AUUUCACAGGUAAACAGAUGAAGAGGUAACAGGUGAUUGAGUACAAAAGGAGCUUUCACAAAAAGCUCAGUCAGAACUUUGCAAAAAAACUGUAUGAGUGAAAAUUCCGACAGUUCCAAAAACAUUUCUCAAAAAAUAAUUGCAACAUCUACCGUCCAUAAAAUUGUUAAAAGAUUCAGGGAAUUCGAAGAUAUUUAGGUGCAUAAACCACAAGGACAUGACCUUCAGUCCCUCAGAUGGCACUGCAUUAAAAACUGACAUGCUUCUAUAAUGAGUAUGACCACAUGAGCUCAAGUAUACUUCAGAAAACACUUGUCAGUAAACAUGUCCAGAAACAUAAAUGGAAAGUGGAAGCCAUUUAUUAACAUCGUCAGAAACGCUGCCAACUUCUCUGGGCUAAAGCUCAUUUGAGAUAGACUGCAUAGUGGAAGUUGCUGUGGUCUGAUAAGAUUUUCUUUCAGGUUGAACCAUUAAAUAACAAUUUUCAGUUGAGCAGGUCAGAAAGAACUUGCAAGUCAUUAUUAUCUGUUUUUAUUUACAUCUUUGGAAUUGGGUUUGUACUUUUAUCUCCUUUUUUGAGUUAGCAGGUGUGAAUGCAUGUUUAGAGAAAUAUCUACAAGUGUUUCUUCACGCACUUGCAUGUAUUAAAGGAGCAUUCUGCAUAAUGUCCCGAUGAUAUGUACAUCAGUGGUUGUAGACAUAUCGUAGUGAAAAUCAUAGAGUGGUUAUAGCAUUGCAUAAAGUGAUAACUUACAGUUGUUUUCCCUUAGGAGAAAUGCAUUUUUGAGGGACGUUGGAGAUGUGGAAGCUGUUCAGAGAUUCAGAAAUGUAGAUAAAAGCAUCGCGGAGGUUGUGGCUACAUAUACUACCUUUUCUGGAUGGAAAUCUAAGAUUUCUGAAGUUCCCCAGAUAAAACCUCCUGACAAAAACCUUCCAGAUGAUUUACUUGGCCUGCUACGUCAUCUGCGUAACUUACUGGUGCACAAGUAAGUCUAACAUCUUCGGAAUGACUGUCUUUUCUUUUCUUUAAAUGAAUCAUUAAUACAAUUAUUAUUGUUAAUAAACAAUUGAUU